AACGAACGCUGGCGGCAGGCCUAACACAUGCAAGUCGAGCGCCCCGCAAGGGGAGCGGCGGACGGGUGAGUAACGCGUGGGAACGUACCCUUUGCUACGGAAUAGCCUCGGGAAACUGGGAGUAAUACCGUAUGUGUCCUUCGGGAGAAAGAUUUAUCGGCAAGGGAUCGGCCCGCGUUGGAUUAGGUAGUUGGUGGGGUAAUGGCCUACCAAGCCGACGAUCCAUAGCUGGUUUGAGAGGAUGAUCAGCCACACUGGGACUGAGACAAGGCCCAGACUCCUACGGGAGGCAGCAGUGGGGAAUCUUAGACAAUGGGCGCAAGCCUGAUCUAGCCAUGCCGCGUGAGCGAUGAAGGCCUUAGGGUUGUAAAGCUCUUUCAGGGGGGAAGAUAAUGACUGUACCCCCAGAAGAAGCCCCGGCUAACUCCGUGCCAGCAGCCGCGGUAAUACGGAGGGGGCUAGCGUUGUUCGGAAUUACUGGGCGUAAAGCGCACGUAGGCGGACGGAGAAGUCAGAGGUGAAAUCCCAGGGCUCAACCUUGGAACUGCCUUUGAAACUUUCUGUCUUGAGGUCGAGAGAGGUGAGUGGAAUUCCGAGUGUAGAGGUGAAAUUCGUAGAUAUUCGGAGGAACACCAGUGGCGAAGGCGGCUCACUGGCUCGAUACUGACGCUGAGGUGCGAAAGCGUGGGGAGCAAACAGG
Molecule: ribosomal RNA, 700 nt
Filed under: uncultured Rhodobacter sp.
Lineage: Bacteria; Pseudomonadati; Pseudomonadota; Alphaproteobacteria; Rhodobacterales
Description: bacterial SSU rRNA
Rfam family: Bacterial small subunit ribosomal RNA
Source: RNAcentral